Molecule: long non-coding RNA, 317 nt
Filed under: Helianthus annuus (common sunflower)
Lineage: Eukaryota; Viridiplantae; Streptophyta; Magnoliopsida; Asterales; Asteraceae
Description: hypothetical non coding rna
Source: RNAcentral
UUAUCAAAUGUUUCAGGCACUACUAUAAGAGCAGAAUACAUAUUUCUCUCGCUAUGAGGGAUAUGUAGUUUAUCGAUCAAUAUCCAGUCCCAGAUGGCUUGUAUAUCUUCAAUACCUGUUGCAUGGGAUAAUAUUGCGAAAUAUUAAGAUGGCCUCUGCGUAUAGGACGUCUUAAACAAUACGGUUCGGUUGGAGAGAUACGCAUAGCUUCUUCACCACAUAUGUACUCUUUGUGCUUCAAUUCACUAGUCUGCGGCUUAUCCCCAUCGUUACUUUCAUGUGGGCCCGGGGACUCGAUAGUUUCAUGUUCACGUGAU